RNAcentral lists this long non-coding RNA (394 nucleotides) under Carica papaya (papaya). RNAcentral's name for it is "long non-coding RNA (CPAP_LNC010100)". The record is from RNAcentral. Lineage: Eukaryota; Viridiplantae; Streptophyta; Magnoliopsida; Brassicales; Caricaceae.
CUCACUAUCCAUGCAACAUCCUCCUCCUCAGUAAAAAGACCCUAAAACCCUUUUCAUUCUCACUAAUUCUCAACCCCUCCAUGUUCUUCCUCUCACAUACCACACUAAAGGAUUUGCUUUCAAUCGCAAAAAACUUCCGCCUUUGAUGUGCCAUCCUUUUCUCUCACUUCAGGCCGACCUUUCCUUCCUCCUUCCGUACAUUCUCUUCGUCUCUCUUUUGCUACUCACUGAAUCCCCUCCUCCCAUCUUCUGUCUUCCUCGCUUCACUCUUAGUCUCUCUCUUAGAGUCUUUCAGUCCUUAAUGCACUUCACUCCAUGUCCAUUAAUUAGAAUGUAAGGCAAUAAAGAGAGAGGAUCAUAUUGAUAUCCCUAGAUGACCUAAAGACUAGUAGGG